Molecule: long non-coding RNA, 121 nt
Organism: Octopus sinensis (East Asian common octopus)
Lineage: Eukaryota; Metazoa; Mollusca; Cephalopoda; Octopoda; Octopodidae
Exons: 3
Source: RefSeq, a predicted model, not a curated record
GCUCGGGAAGUGGUGAAAGACUGAGCGUGGACGGAAACCACACGUCGAGCAAAAGGGCAAAAGCUCGCUCAAUCUCGAUUUUCAGUACGAAUACGGACCGCGAAAGCGUGGUCCAUUGAUC